RNAcentral lists this ribosomal RNA (253 nucleotides) under uncultured bacterium. RNAcentral's name for it is "partial 16S ribosomal RNA". It matches the Rfam family "Bacterial small subunit ribosomal RNA", at positions 524 to 776 of the family's 1533-position model. The record is from RNAcentral.
UACGAAGGGUGCAAGCGUUACUCGGAAUCACUGGGCGUAAAGCGUGCGUAGGCGGUUCGUUAAGUCUGCUGUGAAAGCCCUGGGCUCAACCUGGGAACUGCAGUGGAUACUGGCGGACUAGAGUGUGAUAGAGGAUGGUGGAAUUCCCGGUGUAGCGGUGAAAUGCGUAGAUAUGUGGAGGGAUACCGAUGGCGAAGGCAGCCCCCUGGGUCGACACUGACGCUCAUGCACGAAAGCGUGGGUAGCAAACAGG